ACUAUAUAUAUAUAUAUAUAAUCAUUUAUUUAACCAUAUUCCCUACUGAUGGACAUUUAGAUUGUUUCACAUUCUUUACUGUUACACACAUCCAUUGAAGCAACUGUUUGAAGGAAGAGAAAUAAAAACUGGAAGAUCUUUCUAGAGAAAAAUAAAAUUUGAAAGCUAAAAUGGCUGUUUCUUGGUGGAGAAUCAGAUGGAUGCCUUUUGAGGCUGCUGAUGAAGGUGGUAACACACAAAGCACCACCUGCAGGGCAGUGUGUUCUUAAAAGCGUGCUCCCUCUUGCGGCCAACCUGGGUCAUACUGCAUUCAAGUUGGACAGUUUUGAAUCUGCUGCAAAUAUCCUGAAAGGUUUAACCGAUGCCCAACUAGCAGAGAAGUCAGAGCCCUGGGGAACCUUAGGAAUCAGAGAAUUUAGCCUCUUCAUUUCACAGGUGAGGAAAUGAUGUCCUGGAGGGAUACCUAGAGCCAUACAGCAAAGUUGUCACUGGGGUCAAGGCUGGACCUUGGUCUCUUAACUUGUGUUUGGUACUUUGCAUGAUUGAGAUGGAAUUACCUCAGAAUUAAAUGGCAAACACAUCCCAUGAUGUACUGCUGUAAUGGGUUUUUAAACUACUGUUUUCUUUACUCAUAAAUGAACUGUAUUUCAAGUUAGGGGAUUAUGGUUGAAUUAUCAAAAUAUUCACUACAGAUUUAACUUGCAGACUCUUCAUAUGUACAUUGAUUCUGAUCAAUUUACAAUCUCUUGCUCCAUAGUCAGGGGAUUGGCUACUUGGAUGCAUCUAUCUGGUGGCAUAUCAUGGCCUUGGAUUUUGCAAGUAUUUUUGAUGGCAUGAGUAAAUAAUUAAGACGUAUCAAGUGAAAGUCUGAAAUAUAUAUAUAUAUACAGUAUAAUAUUAACAUUGUGUUAAAAAAAAACAAGAAUAUUCAUGCCUAGAGAGUAAAUAAUAGUGGCUCU
Molecule: long non-coding RNA, 959 nt
Filed under: Bos mutus (wild yak)
Lineage: Eukaryota; Metazoa; Chordata; Mammalia; Artiodactyla; Bovidae
Description: lncRNA (ENSBMUG00000013000.1)
Source: RNAcentral